AUUGAACGCUGGCGGCGUGCUUAACACAUGCAAGUCGUGCGGUAACAGGCGUAGCAAUACGUGCUGACGAGCGGCGAACGGGUGCGUAAUACAUGGGAACCUGCCUUUUAGUGGGGAAUAACCCGGCGAAAGCCCGGGCUAAUGCCGCAUAAGAUCUUCGGAUGAAAGCGGGGGAUCGUAAGACCUCGCGCUGAUAGAUGAGCCCAUGCCCGGAUUAGCUAGNGGUGAGGUAACGGCUCACCAAGGCGACGAUCCGUAGCUGGUCUGAGAGGACGGCCAGCCACACUGGGACUGAGACACGGGCCCAGACUCCUACGGGAGGCAGCAGUGGGAAUAUUGGACAAUGGGGGAAACCCUGAUUCCAG
RNAcentral lists this ribosomal RNA (365 nucleotides) under uncultured bacterium. Its description in RNAcentral is "bacterial SSU rRNA". It matches the Rfam family "Bacterial small subunit ribosomal RNA", at positions 30 to 391 of the family's 1533-position model. The record is from RNAcentral.